UCUCUGCAAGGACCAAUUAUAUGGCCGGAGAAAAUAAUCUUACAUAUGUGUUUAAUUGGGAGAGCAUAUGAACAUUUGGAGCUGUAACUUGUAAGUGAAUGGUAGCAUGGAAACAUGGACGGUGCAUGUAGUAAUUUUUUACUCAUAGCUUUAACAUAGAGUCAGUCUUGUUGCAUUACCUGAUCACCUGAACAUGAGCCUCAAUUGUAAGAGAGCCAAAAUCAUCUAUGAACCCAUCAUGUAACUUGGGUAACUCCAUAAACUUUUUCCAUCCCCAAUCAUGUUCUUUCUUCCAAAACCGGUGCAACGUAUCUGCAAGAGGUGAAUUCAGUUGUCUGCAUAAUGAAAUGGAAGCAAGCAAACUUAAGAGUAAAAAAAUCACCUGCAGACUUAGACUUCUUUGGAUCUUUAUGCACCACAGAUAUAGUAAACUGAGCGAACUGACUCCAGCCUGGUAUCCAAGAUACCAAAA
RNAcentral lists this long non-coding RNA (472 nucleotides) under Arabidopsis lyrata. RNAcentral describes it as "long non-coding RNA (ALYR_LNC000614)". The record is from RNAcentral. Lineage: Eukaryota; Viridiplantae; Streptophyta; Magnoliopsida; Brassicales; Brassicaceae.